This 880-nucleotide long non-coding RNA is filed under the name Cricetulus griseus (Chinese hamster). RNAcentral describes it as "lncRNA (ENSCGRG00015041862.1)". The record is from RNAcentral. Lineage: Eukaryota; Metazoa; Chordata; Mammalia; Rodentia; Cricetidae.
GCACACAUAAGUUGGAGCAAGCCCACCUGGUUCCCAGCACGAGGCCCCCACCUGCCUUCCUAGCUUUACCAGAGAGGACAAGAAAGAGCAGCUGUGGGAGGUGUUCGUCAUCGGUGCCCCGCCCACUCUACACACGAGGAUCUGAGGGUUCCAGACUCCCAAACACACGUGCUAACAUGACGAAGCUGCAGCCUGGGAAGCAGGUUUGUAGACAAUCCAACUCGGAGCCCAACAACCAAGAUUUAACUAAGCAAGUCCUCUUCCAACCAAAAAAAAAAAAAAAAAGUUGAUUUCUUCUGAGUCUUAAAUUUUUUUUAAAGUCGUCACAAAAGCUUUCUUCCCAAGUCCACGGUGAACAAGAGGCAGACCUUCUCCGUCCUCGUCCACAUGCUACACAACUGCACACUGGAGGAGCCCAGUAAGCGCCAAAGGCAAGUCAGCUCUCAGAUGGAGAAACGGCCCUUGAACAGUUGGCAGUACACCAAGAAGAAGGUGUGUGGUUUGGAUAUUGAGUUGUCCUAUCUACAUCAUGUAGCUAGCUCUCAUUGAGCAGUGCCAACCAAGCACCCGGGAUCGAGUUUGAUGUUUAGUCCCCAGAAGACACCAGGAAAGAAAGUUGGUUACAAGGACCUUCUGUGUGCUUCCGCUGUGGCUGCUGUUACCCUGGUCUAAUGGAGGCCUGCCCCAAGAGCCUGGGAUCCAUCAAGUCGGUCAUCCUCUUCUCAUCCCUAAGCCCACCCUGGCAACCUUGCCUCAUUCCCACAUCCAAUCUGUUCCUUACCUGGUCCUUGUCCACCCUGGACUUGUAAGAUACAGCCAGACAAUAGAAAACAGAAUUCAGGCACACACAUGGGGACAAAAAAAAUUAUGAAAAUGAAAC